UACAGAGGAGCCAAGCGUUGUCCGGAUUGACUGGGCGUAAAGCGCACGCAGGCGGUUUGGCGCGUGGGGUGUGAAAUCUGGCCGCUUAACGGCCAGGCGCCAUCCCAUACGGCGAAACUGGAGUGAUGCAGAGGUCGAUGGAAUUGCCGGUGUAGUGGUGAAAUGCGUAGAUAUCGGGAGGAACACCUGUGGCGAAAGCGGCUCACUGGACCACAACUGACGCUGAGGCGCGAAAGCUAGGGGAGCAAACAGG
RNAcentral lists this ribosomal RNA (253 nucleotides) under uncultured bacterium. RNAcentral describes it as "partial 16S ribosomal RNA". It matches the Rfam family "Bacterial small subunit ribosomal RNA", at positions 524 to 776 of the family's 1533-position model. The record is from RNAcentral.